This 212-nucleotide long non-coding RNA is filed under the name Gossypium raimondii (Peruvian cotton). Its description in RNAcentral is "long non-coding RNA (GRAI_LNC000764)". Lineage: Eukaryota; Viridiplantae; Streptophyta; Magnoliopsida; Malvales; Malvaceae. The record is from RNAcentral.
GGUAAGUUAUAUAUAGUUCUAAGCAUUGUAUCAAUUUUUUAAAUACAACAGCCUACAUAACAAUCCACUUGUACUUCAUGCUAAUUUUUUUUGAAUUUUUAUGAACUUUUUUAUUUUUUAAUUUUUAUUUUUAAUUAUUUAUUGAUAUGACAUAUAAAACAAAUGAUGUUAAGUUAACAUGGUGUGCGUAUAAACUGUCGUGCGAGCCGUCA